UGGGCCAUACCCAGAGUGCUCUGAUUACAUACACUUCACUGGUUCCUUGUUAGAAAAGCCCAUCUUUCAAACUUAAGUAGAUUUCCUCAAUGGUCUAUUUUAUAAAGAACAAGCAACUAGUCAUAUGUGGCUAUCUCUUCUCUUAUGAGAAAAAAACAAAAAACCUCAAUCAAGUCCAUUUACAAGAAGAACAUACAGAAGAUCGCUUUAAUUUUGGCUUCAUCACGAAGCUUCUCCAAGCCAUGUAAAGUGAGUGGGACAGGAGUAAGGGGCAGAGAGAAAAGGAGAAAUGGAAACAAAGGGCAAGCACACUUUUAAAAGUUCCUGGCAACACAUAUAAACAAGCAAACAAAGAAAAAUAUGUCCAGUCUUAUAGUCAGGUGCGAUGGGAAUUCCCUGUAGCCCAGCACUAUGGAGGCAGACAGCAUGAGUAUGAAGCCAGCCUGAGUUACAUAGAAGUUCUAGGCCAGCCUGGGCAACACAGUAAAACCCUUAUCAAAAAGAAAAAAGAAAACCAAACAGGUCUUUUAAUGCUAACAUUUGUUUAUAUGGUUCAGAGCUCUCUAGCCUUUGACUAAUGAUCACACUGUUCUGUUUAUUGGUUGUUGAGCCACUGUUGAGGGACCAGACGUACAGGAGCUGAGAACACUGCAUACACAGUUACCUUGCCUGCCAUUAUUUGCAUACUCAGGUGUCCUAAACUGUUCAGUGCACCUGUCCUUGACACGGCUCGAAAAGAGGCCGUCCACUCAUCGAAUGAGGUAGAACCGGUCUUCUUAACACCAUCCUCUUCCUCAUGCCCUUUCCCUAAUGUUCCUAAGUUGCAAUGGUGUCCUUGCCACAUUUUGCAUGUUUGCAGUAACUAUAGUUGGUAGACAUCUUCCUUCCAAACACCCUCCCGAGUGCCCUGAGGCUAUUUAGUAAGAGCAGAUGUAAACAUAAGACCCAUUUCCCUUUUCAGAAUUUAUACAUAGCAUGAUAAUUAGAUGUAGCAUUUUAUAAAAUAUCUCGCCCCGGGCCCAUUUAUCACAAUGCUAGUUUUAAAUGACUGCUUCUUAGUCAUUUAAAACUACUCAAUUAAUGGUAAUUGUUUCUUGAAAUCUAACUCAGUUUAAGUCCCACCCACCCACUACGCACAGUGCACUAUGCACUAAUUACUACACAUAAGCGAAGAUUAAUAUGCUUUAGAAGGUUCAUCAUUAGUUUGACCCUUCCAGCAUUGCAGUGCGCCGGGCAAACUUUCUUUUGUUGUUGUGUUUGUUCUCGUAGCCAGUUUCAUGAACAAAGAAGAUGGUUAGCUAUUUUUCAAAUACCCACUGGAGACUGGAUGAAGGCUUUGGUUGUUCAAGUAACUGGACUAUGAUUAGACUAUUGAACCAUACUCCCUCUUGAGUUUUUCUGUUUUAAAAGUUUGAUGGUAGGAUCUUUUCCAGUUUUUCUUGUUGCAUUAUGUUAACAAAAGAAUUUUUAGGCUGAUUUGGAGGGUGUGACUUCCUGGUGCCUGGCUGAUAGCUGGCAUGUUGCAGGUUGGAAAGAGUAAGGUAAACAAAGAGGAGGGCAUUCUUCCAAGACCCUCAGCUGAUGACGUUAGUUCCGUUGCCUCUGUUUUCAUGUGGCUGAGGUUAUUAAGAACUACAGCUCAUCUUCUCUCACUUUUCCAGACAAAGCAGAGUUCCAUGAGGCCAGAGCUAGGGCAGAGCUUUCGAUGAUGCUGAGGAAGCCGAGGAAGAAACACUUUGACAGAGAGAUGUAGAUAAAGCAGCUGCUCUGCUCUGAAUCAUGCGAUUGCCCCCAGGGUUUGACGGCACAGGGCUGUGGGAGAAUGUAUGCCUGUUGGCAUCUUCACAUAGAACAGACAAAAUCGGUACCCCCUUCGUGCAAAGUACUCUAAGAUGCUUCCUGCAUUUAUUAGUCCUCUAAAGAUCCAAGCACUGCUUAUUGGUAUGUGAUUUCCUUCCUAUAAGUGAUAUGUGGUAUAUUGUGGGCUUUUUGUUGUUUGUUUGUUUGUUUGCUUGUUUUUAUCUAGCCCUAGACGUUAGGCUUGUUUUAAUUGUGAGGCUCUGUUAGUAUUCCCCAUUUUGGCAAGACUUUACCAUAUUAAUGUACCAAAUUAAAGAGAAAUAUUUUAAAUUUACUUUUCUCUUUUUUAUCAAAAGCAUUCAAAGAACUUGUAGCAGAGGUCAUUUUGUAGUUUGAGGGAGAUGUAUUUAUUUUACUUCUUCCUUUGAGGUAAUAUGUCAAUUCAUAGAGUAUUAACCAUCUUAAAUACUCCUCCGCCCACCUCCGUUCGAAGACCCUGAGCCACAGCUGUAUCAGAGGGUGUUAAGUUUGAUGGAAUCGUAUGGGCUGUAGGCAGCACCAGCUUAUUUAUCUUCUCUUCAGUAUGGGGCAGUGUUUUAUCCAAAUCUGUUUCUCCUGUAGCUUUCUCUCUGUGACUCAGUUUGCCCUAGGUGAUUGUGGCUUUGGGAAAAUAAAGUCAUCUUGCCCACCAUUAGAUGAGGGGUUUUGUAAAAUAGCCAAAAUAGCCAAAGGCUAUUUCCCUAACUAAGGGAAGGUCACUGUAUUGUCACCUCGUUCCUGCAGCUUUUGUUUUGUUUGACAAGGUCUUUGUAUUAUGUACCGCUGGCUGUCCUGGAACUCACUGUAUAGACCAGGCUGACCUCAACCUCACAGACAUCCACCUGCCUCUGCCUCCAGAGUUCUGGGAUUAAAGGUGUGUGCUACGUACCGCACCUGGUGCUCCAGAGCCCUUUACAUUUCAGUGAACUCAGAAGACAAUAGGAUCAUUGUUUUAGAGUAUCUAUUGCUCUGAUUAAAAACAAAACAGAACAGAACAAAAAAAACGUAACCAAAAGCAACUCAGGAAGGAAUCGGUUUAUUUCAGUUUACAAUUGUAGUCUGUUAUUGAGAGAAGUCAGGGCAGAGAAGCCUGCAAGCAGGACUGAAGCAGAGACCAUGGAGAAAUGCUGUUUACUGGCUUGCUCCCAUGCUCACUCAGCCUGUUUUCUUAUAUCAUCCAGGACCGCCUGCCCUGGGCUUACCUCAAUCAUUAACC
This 3055-nucleotide long non-coding RNA is filed under the name Mus musculus (house mouse). RNAcentral's name for it is "long non-coding RNA chr12:79546113-79549168". Lineage: Eukaryota; Metazoa; Chordata; Mammalia; Rodentia; Muridae. The record is from RNAcentral.